Lepisosteus oculatus (spotted gar) is the source of this 119-nucleotide ribosomal RNA. The record is from Ensembl. Lineage: Eukaryota; Metazoa; Chordata; Actinopteri; Semionotiformes; Lepisosteidae.
GUCAGUAGCCAUAUCACCCUGCUAUUCACAACUGGCAACCCACUGAAGCUAAGCAGGGGUGACUCUGGUCAGUACCUGGAUGGGAGACCUCCUGGGAAUAACUAAGGUUGCUGCUGGAA